This 440-nucleotide non-coding RNA is filed under the name Pongo abelii (Sumatran orangutan). Lineage: Eukaryota; Metazoa; Chordata; Mammalia; Primates; Hominidae. The record is from RNAcentral.
GAGUCAGUCACCGUUUGGCCGGGCAGGCGGUUCCCGGGCGCGGAGGAUGGAAACCUGGCGGUAACCUCUGGAGGUCGUGCCACUUGGUGUGCGCAAGGCUUCAGAGGCAUCUUUUCAUUUUUAGGGGGCACUUUCCACGAAUUCAUUUGAGCUACACAGCAGUCCUGGGCAGUGGGGAGUGGUGAGCUCCAUUGUGUACACUUGUAAGCAGCCCAGAAAGCUUCUAGCACAGUGCUUUGUGCACAGUAAACACUCCAGCGGCUGUUGACCAAUGAAUGAAUGAAGAUUGUAGGCUCAAAUAUUCAAGUUAUCAAAGUGCAAAGAAUGAGAGGUUGUUUGCACUGGACUUCAAAAAUAAAUAGCCUGGACCUGUAACUGUCUUACACAACAGCUAUGAGCUACUGGUAUGUGGCUAGUCCAAACUGAAAUGGCCUUUAAGA